CUUAAAUGAAUUUAAGCUACUUUACAGUGACUGCCAACACUAUUUCAUUAUCUUGAAUCAACAAAAGCAAACCAGAAUUUCCAAACACCACCAGUGGGAGUGUAAAAUGGUUCAAUCAUCUCAGAGAACUGUUUGGCAGUUUUGAACAAAGUUAAACUUCAUCUACACUACAACCCAGAAAGUCCUAGCUGUACUCCCAAGAGAAAUGAGUAUAUAUGUCCCUAAAACUUUGUGCAAGGAUAUUCAUAGCAGUCUUAUUUAUAAUAGACAAAAAAGGAAUACCACUUAAUGUCCAUCCACAGGAAAAUGACUAAACUAUUUUAUUCAAAUAAGGAAUACUAUUCAACAACUGAAAGGAAUGAGCUACUGAUAUACACAGCAACAUGCAUUAACGUCAUAGAUAUUAUCUGAGCAAAAGAAGUCAAUACACACAAUAUGCUUUCACGUAUAUUAAGCUGUAGAAUAGGUACAAUACACCCAUGGUGGUGGGUCAUUGGAUGCGAAGGAACAUGAGAGAAUUUCCAGGAGUGAGAGAAGUGUUGUAUAUCUUGAUCUAGGUGUUGGUUACACAGGUAUAUGUGAAAGCUCUUCUAAGUGUACAUUUGUAAUUUCUGCAUUCUACUUAAGAAAAUUAUACUUAAUAUAGUACUACUGGCUGGCAAGAAAAGCCAUUUCCCUCACCUAAAAGCAUCUGAAUACCCGUUACUCCCUAUAACCUUUCUCCCACUGGCUCUCCCAACACUUGGUAGAUGCCUUGUUGCCUGGGAGGAUCUGAAGAGUUGGGUGGAUUCCAGCCAAGGAGAGACAGGGUGACUGACCUCAUUUCUUUACUUUGGAUGGAGCUGUGUCUAUGCUGCUUGGUAAAACAGCACAAAUGUAAACGAGGUGUAAACUGCUUUCACAUCUCAUUUAGGGAACAGAUGAGGCGUGAAAUGCAUUUCACAGGCACAAGGACUGGAGGGGGAUGCUUAGCAUGGUGCAAUGUAGAACAUUUGUUCCUCUUCCCUCAGGGAUGCUGGAUUAUUUCUGAACAUGGCUACUGUGGGGGUGGGAGUACAGGAGGAAGGUGAAGGGCCUGAGUCUCCUGUACUUAGGAUCCUUCCUUCUUUCCUAUGCCUGACCACCUCCCACAUAUCUGUUAAAGGACCUCCCUGCUCACCACGCACUCACUGAUUCAGUGGCCUUUUCCUCUGGUUACCCACAGUACUUGGCUCAGUCUCAGACUCUACUUAUCUCCCUCUAUCUGGACCAGGAAUGCAUAUUGUUUUUGGAUUCAGCAGUUACUCAAUUAACCCUUAAGGAAUUCAUGUGAAUUGAGGCAGAGGACAGACACAGGGAAGGAGAAUCAUGUAUCCAGGGAUGGUAUUUUAGCAGUUGAACCAUCUCCAAAUGCCCAAAAGAAAUAGAAAGUUCCAAAGACAACUUACAAGUUUAGGAGAUUUAUAUCAUCUUAUAUCUCUCAAAGACACACAUACACGUCCUUCAGGGCAAGCUUACUUAUAAAGAUAAGUGUGGGAUUCUAUGUUUUCUUUUAUCACUAAAUUUAAACCUAAAUUCCCAAUCCCAUUGCCUGAUAACAGUUGCAUAGUCUCUGUGUCAGCCAUUACUUAGAUAUAGAAUGUUGGCUCCUAACAUGACCCUAACAAGGAUGAUUCCAAGCUAGAAUGCAAUGAAGCUAUCAUACUAAAGAAACUUUGCUUAGAAAAUUCCAGAGAAACUGACAUGACAUCGUAUUGUGAAAUGAACACUAAGAUUCAGAAAAUCUGAGAUCAAGCCUAGCCAGAAACUUGACCUUGAAAAACUGCUUAACCUCUCCAGACCUCCGUUUCCUCCAAUGCAAGAUAUGAUCAAUUCUAGAGCGCAGCUUGUACUCACCCUAUGACCCAAGAUUGCUUUGCUAGAAAUAUAUCUCAGAUAGGUAACUGUUGCGAAGGGGGUAUAUUUCCCCUCUACCUCUCUUGAGUUCUUAUGUCUGGCCUGAGAAUAAAUUUGACCCAAAACAGAUUAAGAAGAAAAAACUAAACAAAUUUUCAUUCAUGUGCGUGGAGGUCUCAUAGAAAUGGGACCUAAGAGUGGUCAAGCAGGCAGCUUUUACACUUUUUAGACAAAUAAACCAUUGGUUUGUGAGGAAUUCACAGGACAAAGAAACUUAGGUUUGGGGUGGCCUGUUAGUGAAGAAUUUAAACAGAGUUGGGCUUGGGAUAAUCAAUGAAAGAAGUAAUUUACAAGGUUUGUAUUUUAGCCCUGAUUUCCCGAUCUUAGACAACAAGGGUGUCCUUUUACAUCCAGAUGCAGGAAGUGCAUCUUUCACCUGAGAAGUUUAUUUAUUUACUUAUUUUACUCUUUAUUUAUUUAUUGCUUUUUAGGGCUGCACCCAUGGCAUAUGAAGGUUCCCAGGCUAGGGGUUGAAUCGGAGCUGUAGCUGUCCACCUACGCUACAGCCAAAGCAAUACCAGAUCCAAGCCACAUCUGCAACCUACACCACAGCUCACGGCAAUGCCAGAUCCUUAACCCACAGAGAGAGGCCAGGGAUGGAACCUGCGACCUGAUGGAUGCUAGUCAGAUUUGUUAACUGCUGAGCCAUGAUGGGAACUCCUCACCUGAGAAAUUUAUUUCCUGCUUCCAGGGAAUCAGGAAGGAGUGUCAGAGUAUUCCUUUUAUAUUGGCUUUUCCUUAAGUAACUUUAAUUCAGAAUAAUUAAUAUGCCCUUGAGGCACAUUUUGGGGUAGUCUGCCUUGGGCCCCAACAUACCCAAAUCCAGAUACACAAAGAUCUCCAACAUUGCUUAUAAAAAACAAAGAGUUGGAAAUAAUUUGAAUGCUUAUCAAUGUGAGCAUGGAUAGACAAUGUUUGCAUAAAAAAUAUACUCACAUAACCUACUUAGAUGAGUCUAAAAAAACAGAAGUUUGAGUGAAAAAUGAAAGAUGUGGCUUGGAAUUUAUAAUACAAUAAAUAGCCAUUUAGGUAAAGGAAUAUUCAAGAUCGAAGGGAAUGAGAUGCUUUAGAGAUGAAAGAGACAAAAAUAAUACAAAAUAUUGAGUAAAAUAGAGAGAUCCCAAAUAUAAAGUUCUUAUCAUCUAGAAAUACUAAAUCUUGGUCUAGCAAAACAUAGUCAGAAAAAGAUAGGCAACUCUUUCUGGGUGGACAAACUUUUAUUUUCCCUGCUUAUCUCGAGUCAGAGUCAAAAAUCCCAAUAUUUUCAAUGGCUUUAAAUAUGGCCUCACAUUUUGACCAGAUCAUCCAUUUCAUUUGGAAAAAGGUUAGGACUCCAAGUGUUAACUAACAUAUGCUGCACAAUGUAAGUGGUGGAUUGUCACAGAUUUUGCUCAGUAUUGACAAUCAAGGCAUUUUUGUUGUUAAUGGAAUGUUAAUUGGGACCAUGCUAACAUUUAAUUAAUUUUAAGUACAAUAG
Molecule: long non-coding RNA, 3412 nt
Filed under: Sus scrofa (pig)
Lineage: Eukaryota; Metazoa; Chordata; Mammalia; Artiodactyla; Suidae
Description: lncRNA (ENSSSCG00015079803.1)
Source: RNAcentral